RNAcentral lists this ribosomal RNA (406 nucleotides) under uncultured bacterium. Its description in RNAcentral is "bacterial SSU rRNA". It matches the Rfam family "Bacterial small subunit ribosomal RNA", at positions 355 to 775 of the family's 1533-position model. The record is from RNAcentral.
UGGGGAAUCUUGCGCAAUGGGCGAAAGCCUGACGCAGCGACGCCGCGUGUGCGAUGAAGGUCUUCGGAUCGUAAAGCACUGUCGCGGGGGAAAAAGAAAAUGAUGGUACCCCGAAAGGAAGCACCGGCUAACUCUGUGCCAGCAGCCGCGGUAAUACAGAGGGUGCGAGCGUUGUUCGGAAUUAUUGGGCGUAAAGCGCUGGUAGGUGGUUUGUUAAGUCGCGUGUGAAAGCUCCAGGCUCAACCUGGAAAGUGCGCGCGAAACUGGCGAACUUGAGUGCCGGAGAGGGUCGUGGAAUUCCCAGUGUAGAGGUGAAAUUCGUAGAUAUUGGGAGGAACACCAGAGGCGAAGGCGACGACCUGGAAGGUAACUGACACUGAGCAGCGAAAGCGUGGGGAGCAAACAG